UUAGGGUUUCUCUAAGAAAUCAAUCCCCAAGAACAAGAAAUCCUACGUGUUUGAUUCCAAGUCAAGAAUUCAAGUUUUCCUACGCCGAUCUUCAAUAAAUCACUCAGCCCAGGUAUGCAUAGUGUUCAUUCAUGGACUCCUUUCAUCCAUGAAGACCAAGAAUCUCUUUUCAAAGUUUAAGUGUAUGAAUUUUUAUGAAUACCAUAUUGGGUUUGUUCUUGUUCAUGUUGAUAAUGAUCAAUUAAAUUCUAUUCCAUGUUUAGUGAUAAAUCUUAAGCGGAAUUAAUUAUUAUAGGUGUAGCUUCAUGUGAAUCCAUGAUAAAACCCUUGAAUGGUGAAAUUAAAGUUGAUUCAUGAUGUUUACCUGUUGUAUGAUGUUGUCUACAUAUACCAUGCUCACCAUGUAUUUGAUUAAAUGCCUAUGUGAAGGAAAAGUGCCCUACUAGUAUGAUAAUAGGAGAUCCCUUUUCAUUUACAAUUUCAUGCAUGUCAAGUGUUUGAUGAAAUGCCUUAGUCAAUGAAUUAUAGAAGUAUGUGUGGCCAUUGAGGUGCUUUAGAACUUGUACCUUAUGUAUUCUCCAAUUUAUUAUAUUAUAGACUCAUGAUGUGAUUAUGUAUUCAAGAAAAGUCAUGAGUUGUCAGUUUUUUCUCAUCGAGUCCUGGGGGUACUUGUACCCGAAAAAUAUAGUUGCGUACCUAGAGCCAGUGUCAUGUUUUCACGAUAUUCUCAGUCAAGCCAUGUUCAAUAGACUUUAGUCAGUCUCACGACUCAGAAAAAUCUCAAAAAUCUCAUGAACUCAGUUAGUUAAUUAGGAUUCAGUAAUAUUCCAUUAGUCAACGGAAUGCAGUGAUCUUAAUCUAGUUUAGUCAGUAUCCAUGUUCAGUGUCUAUUCAAAUGGGAGUAGAAAUUAGCACUGAGCGAACCCAAGGAUGGGAACUCACCUGGCAGUUUAAGGUGUGAUUCUUAGAAGCAAUCUUUGUGUUCCAGAACUAUGUAGCCAGCGUAGGCUGAGACAUCUAACCUAUCAAUUUAGGGUUGAUGGGGUGUAUUAACCUGUCAGUUUAGGAUUCCCACCAUUCUCAUUUCGAGUACCUGCCAGUAUAGGGUCCUCACAACUUGUCCUUACCAGUGGCGCGGUAUUUACGUCCUUCCAAUCAAGACAGAGAUUGGACCCUAACUUAGCCUUAUUGCUUAAUUGGGGCAUGUCGGUUAUAUGACUACUUCCACAGUUUCAGUAUCAGUCUCAGUAAAGGAACUCAAAUAGUUCUUCAGAUUUUAGGACUGUUAGAUACAGUCAACUCAGAUAUAGUAUAGAACUCAGAUAGUUCCAUCAGAUUUAGGACUAUCAGAUACAGUCACCCAUGUUAUCAGUUAUAUCAGUCAUGUUAGCCAUUAGUACACAUAUGUUAUCAGUAUAUAGACUCAGUUAUCAUGUUCUCACGAUUUUAGUUACUAUGUAUUCAUGCAUGUAUUCUCACGGUCAUAUUAGUCAGUCAGUUAGUAUUGUUCUUUCAUAUGAACCACAUGCAUUCAGCCUAUCUCAUAUGCAUACUCAGUACAUUCCAACGUACUGACGCAUUCACGCUAUGAUUUUUUUUUAUUUUACACCAUAGGUUCAGAGACACGAGUUCCAGAUUAGUAGUAGCAGUAGCAUUCCAGUACUCAAAGUUGCAGUGAGUCCUCUUCAUUCGAGGAUGAUAUGAUUACUACUUCAUUUGUUAUUUCAGUUUUUGCUUUCGGUAGUUGGGAGUUAGUUGGAGACAUGUUCCUUCCACUCCCUACUUUAGAUAGUUAGAGGCUUUUGGAUUAGAUUACAGACUAGAUUCAGACUUCAGUAUUUCAAUUUUGUUUUUGUAUUGUGAUACCACUUAUUUCAAACAUUGUUAUUAUUCAGAUUAUGUUCAGUAUUGAACCUUAUGGCCUAUCAAUACAUGUUUUCACAUUAUUAUAUUAUAUUAUGCAGUGUUCAGGUAUAGAUAUCAGUUAUGGGUUAGCUUGUGGUCCUUCAGGAUCAUGAGCACUGUGUAGCAUUCCGAAUACCAAAUUCGGGGCGUUACAACUUUUACUCCACCUGUCCAUCUUAAUUUACCAAUUUGUGUUUAUUUUGAACAAGUUAUUAAAUGCUUCAUUAAAUAUGGAUGGAAAAAGUACAUCCUCCAUUCAGUGUAGUACUACUUACAUUUUCUUUCUCCCUUUUGGGUUUAUGAUUUUAAUGUUUUUUUGUUUUUUGUCCCUUCACACUAAACAAACAGGCCCUAACAUGCUUACCGCAACAAAAUAAACCCACUCUAAUUAAUAAUCCCCCUUUACUGAGUGGAAAAUUCGAGAAGAAACUUUAGACGUCGCAUGUUGAUGUUGGAUGUAUUUAUCCAUUCUAGCAUUACUAUUCUAGCCAUUUUUAGCCUUAUUUUGAGGAUGAUUCUUAUGCUAUAUGUAUUGAUAAUGAUAUAAAUGAGAAUUCAUAUGUCCAAAUAUGUGUUUACAAUGCUUAAUGGUCUUUUUACAUAAUUUUUGAUUCAAUUUGAGCAUUUAGAGUUCAACCGAGAAAACUAGUAUGAUUAGCUUGAGCUAGGUGUUUGUCUAAUCUAUUAUGUUGAGUUAUAAUGUGUUUUAAUGAGUUACUAAGGUUUUUAUUAUGUAUUUAUUUGUGAAAAAACUUAUUUAUAAUGUUCAUAGGUCAACUGGAUCAAAACAAGACUCAAAACAAUGAGCCUAAACUCAAUGUGCAUUUAGCCUAUGCUUAGCUCGUAUUUUGAGUUCACCGUCUUGGAUGUUGUAUUGCUUUGAGCUCUAAUUUGUGGUGUUUAAUGAUUUAGGAUGCUUGGUGAAUGGAUCAUGAUGAUAUAUGAAGGAUAUACAAGCUUCAAAUCAAGUGGAAACAACUUAAUAAGGUUCGGAAUGACUCAACGACACCAGAAUACAAAAACUGACUCCAUUUAGAUAUCUGAAAUGUAUUGGGCCAUUUUGGGCGCGUGAACAGUCCAAUUGGGUCAUGAAAAAUAUGACUGGAUUAAUAAGAGGCCCAAUUUUUAGUCCCACAAUCACGUGUAACAUUUGGUGGACUUUGAGAAGCACUGCAAUGCGAUGAAAUCUCAGUGAGAUUUUGGAAAUUGACAAUUAUCGAUUGGCUUGUCACCGCGUCGCGAUGUCCAUCAAAAGUGGGAUUUUUAUCUUCUAUAAAAGGAAAAAUGUUGAAAAAAAUUAGGGUAUCUUUGUACAUACUCUUUGGGGAAGCUUAGG
RNAcentral lists this long non-coding RNA (3241 nucleotides) under Capsicum annuum. RNAcentral describes it as "long non-coding RNA (CANN_LNC003788)". The record is from RNAcentral. Lineage: Eukaryota; Viridiplantae; Streptophyta; Magnoliopsida; Solanales; Solanaceae.